CACGUGAGUAACCUGCCCUUGACUCUGGGAUAAGCCUGGGAAACUGGGUCUAAUACCGGAUACGACCAUCUGGCGCAUGUCAUGGUGGUGGAAAGCUUUUGUGGUUUUGGAUGGACUCGCGGCCUAUCAGCUUGUUGGUGGGGUAAUGGCCUACCAAGGCGACGACGGGUAGCCGGCCUGAGAGGGUGACCGGCCACACUGGGACUGAGACACGGCCCAGACUCCUACGGGAGGCAGCAGUGGGGAAUAUUGCACAAUGGGCGCAAGCCUGAUGCAGCGACGCCGCGUGAGGGAUGACGGCCUUCGGGUUGUAAACCUCUUUCAGUAGGGAAGAAGCCGUAAGGUGACGGUACCUGCAGAAGAAGCGCCGGCUAACUACGUGCCAGCAGCCGCGGUAAUACGUAGGGCGCAGGCGUUAUCCGGAAUUAUUGGGCGUAAAGAGCUCGUAGGCGGUUUGUCGCGUCUGCUGUGAAAGACCGGGGCUCAACUCCGGUUCUGCAGUGGGUACGGGCAGACUAGAGUGCAGUAGGGGAGACUGGAAUUCCUGGUGUAGCGGUGAAAUGCGCAGAUAUCAGGAGGAACACCGAUGGCGAAGGCAGGUCUCUGGGCUGUAACUGACGCUGAGGAGCGAAAGCAUGGGGAGCGAACAGGAUUAGAUACCCUGGUAGUCCAUGCCGUAAACGUUGGGCACUAGGUGUGGGGGACAUUCCACGUUUUCCGCGCCGUAGCUAACGCAUUAAGUGCCCCGCCUGGGGAGUACGGCCGCAAGGCUAAAACUCAAAGGAAUUGACGGGGGCCCGCACAAGCGGCGGAGCAUGCGGAUUAAUUCGAUGCAACGCGAAGAACCUUACCAAGGCUUGACAUGAACCGGUAAUACCUGGAAACAGGUGCCCCGCUUGCGGUCGGUUUACAGGUGGUGCAUGGUUGUCGUCAGCUCGUGUCGUGAGAUGUUGGGUUAAGUCCCGCAACGAGCGCAACCCUCGUUCUAUGUUGCCAGCGGUUCGGCCGGGGACUCAUAGGAGACUGCCGGGGUCAACUCGGAGGAAGGUGGGGACGACGUCAAAUCAUCAUGCCCCUUAUGUCUUGGGCUUCACGCMUGCUACAAUGGCCGGUACAAAGGGUUGCGAUACUGUGAGGUGGAGCUAAUCCCAAAAAGCCGGUCUCAGUUCGGAUUGGGGUCUGCAACUCGACCCCAUGAAGUCGGAGUCGCUAGUAAUCGCAGAUCAGCAACGCUGCGGUGAAUACGUUCCCGGGCCUUGUACACACCGCCCGUCAAGUCACGAAAGUUGG
This 1290-nucleotide ribosomal RNA is filed under the name Arthrobacter bambusae. RNAcentral's name for it is "bacterial SSU rRNA". Lineage: Bacteria; Bacillati; Actinomycetota; Actinomycetes; Micrococcales; Micrococcaceae. The record is from RNAcentral.